RNAcentral lists this ribosomal RNA (504 nucleotides) under uncultured bacterium. Its description in RNAcentral is "bacterial SSU rRNA". It matches the Rfam family "Bacterial small subunit ribosomal RNA", at positions 17 to 518 of the family's 1533-position model. The record is from RNAcentral.
UUCUGGCUCAGGAUGAACGCUGGCGGCGUGCCUAAUACAUGCAAGUCGAACGGAAAUUUAACGCUGAGGCGAGCUUGCUCAAUUCUUGUUAAAUUUAGUGGCGGACGGGUGAGUAACGCGUGGGUAACCUGCCUUACACUGGGGGACAACAGUUGGAAACGACUGCUAAUACCGCAUAAGCGCACAGAAUCGCAUGAUUCAGUGUGAAAAAACUCCGGUGGUGUAAGAUGGACCCGCGUCUGAUUAGCUAGUUGGUGAGGUAACGGCCCACCAAGGCGACGAUCAGUAGCCGGCCUGAGAGGGUGAACGGCCACAUUGGGACUGAGACACGGCCCAAACUCCUACGGGAGGCAGCAGUAGGGAAUAUUGCACAAUGGGGGAAACCCUGAUGCAAGCAACGCCGCGUGAGUGAAGAAGUAUUUCGGUAUGUAAAGCUCUAUCAGCAGGGAAGAAAAUGACGGUACCUGACUAAGAAGCCCCGGCUAACUACGUGCCAGCCGCUGC